CUUCAAAUAUUUAUCUCAGGUAUAUCCCAAUAUAUAUGGUGGUGACCUCAAAACUAGGUUCUGUACCUAUUGGACAAUCGAAGAUUCUGAAAAGACUGGGUGCUACAAUGUUUUAUGCCCUGGUUUUGUGCAAGUGAACACUAGAGUACCACCUGGUUCUACAUUCUGUGCAAUGUCCAGCCAUGAUGGACCCCAAUUUUAUAUUGAUCUCUCCGUCGUCCAGGUAUACACUUUCUAAAUAAUGUAAAUUAAUUUUGAAAAUUAGGGUUUUUUUUUUUUCCGAUCACAAUGUUUAGUGAAGUAUAAUGCUUUACUAUUUGUCAUGUGUCAAUUACAUGAAUUAGUACAUGUGAUGAAGGACUUGACAAGCAUCUUAUUGGUAUAAUUUAAGCUUAAAAUGAAUAGCGGAAGAAACUAAAAUUACAAAAGAAUGCCAUUUUAUAUUUUAUAUUUUGUAUUCAUCUCCAUCUUAUGGCAUCUUUGUAAUUAUUCACUAAAACUUUGAAUCUGAAUUCUAGUAGCUUUACUCACUUACUUUGGACUAAAAUUUUGCCAUUGAUAGGGAUGUACGUGGAAUGUGCGACUGUCAAGUGAUAAAUAGUGAAUCAUUAAAUUUAUUCACCAGGUGGCAAGUGUGUGGAAUGUACGACUGUCAAGUGAUAAAUAGUGAAUCAUUCUAUUUAUUCACCAGGAGGCAAGUGAUGCCCAGAGGGACCCACCUAAAUAUUAUUAGUAUUUAAUGACGCAAUGUUAUUAGGGAAAUUUACAGCACCACCCUCUAGAGAAUGACACCCCUUGCACAAUGCCAAAUUACGCUUACACCCCCUAACUUCAGGCUCUGUUACGGAAUAUACCUUAAAUGCUGAUAUUAGUUGGUAUAUUCACUUAAUAGAGACUGAUGAUAAAGAGUGCGAGUCUAAUGAUUUGAUAUUAUGUAGGGAGUGUCUCUCUAAUGUUGGCAUUCUCUAAGGAGUGACGCUGUAAAUUUUCCAUAUUAUAUCAGUACUUAAUGAUGCAAUUGAGUUGUUUAUUGGUUGUUUGUUGGACACAAAGACAAAGGAUUGGUGGUUAUUCGUUCAAAAAGAAUCCAUAGGGUAUUGGCCACAUAGUCUGUUGAGUCGUUUAACAAGUGCUGGAGCAACUAUGGUUGAAUGGGGAGGUGAAGCUGCCAAUGUAAACAACGGCAAACCAUGGCCUCCGAUGGGGAGUGGUCAAUUCCUUCUUCAAACCAAUUUCUUUUCCAUUGCAAACAUGACUGUUCUCAAACCAGACUAAGUGGAAUGAAUAUGUUGUUGAUAAGUUGCUGAUAAGUAAUAGUGAUUGCUAUCAUGCAUUGGAUGGUGGGAAACAAGAUCGAUGGGGAAGAGUUAUCACCUUCGGUGGAAUUGGUGGUCAAUGUGAUGACCCAAUUUAAUUCAAGCUGUAAGAAUGAUCAAGUUUUGAAUCAAUAACACGUCUUUUAGAUUAUAUAUAUAUAUAUAUAUAUAU
Macadamia integrifolia is the source of this 1488-nucleotide long non-coding RNA. RefSeq lists it as uncharacterized. The transcript has 2 exons. The record is from RefSeq and is a predicted model, not a curated record. NCBI's taxonomy places the organism in Eukaryota, Viridiplantae, Streptophyta, Magnoliopsida, Proteales, Proteaceae.